GACUAAAGAAAAGCUUAAGGAAUGAUAUCAUUAGCAAAUGCAAAUAUGUUAAUUCACAUAAAAAGAUAAGGCUUAAAAAGUCCAACCUGUCAUAUGUAAAAUUAUUUUAAUGACAUAUUCAAGAAGAAUCUGGAGAUUAUGCUGCCAAGAAGGCAAUACUUUUAAGGCAAUCUUACAAAGUAUAUGAAAUCACAGACUGUAAUAUCCUGCAACUAUUUUAAUUUUAAAAGCUCAGUUUACAAAUAUAUACCAAUAUUUUUCUCACUUUUAAUCACUCCCCCACUGUUUUAGCAUAAGAGCUAAAAUAACCUAAAACUGCCCCUUAAAACACACACAGCAAGUCUGUUACACAGAUCGAGAAAACAAAAAAUGUAUGAAGGAAAGAAUGUUUUAAAUAAUCUGAAACAGAGUAGCAAAAAAAUGUGUGGUUUCUAGGUUUCAGCUACUAUUAAAGAAUUUUCCUGGGAGAAUUUUACUUUAAAGCAACUCUAAAUGAAAAUGCAUAUAAUUAAGGGAAAGACCAUUGCUUCAAACAGAUUGACUGUCUUUAACAAGUUUCUCUCUUUCUAGCUACUCAGAUAUGCUAUAUUUCCUAAUUAUCACCUUUUAAGGGCCAUCUGGGCCCAUUCCUCCCCAUCAGGGGGCAAUUCCAUUUGCAUUGUUCCUGGGUUUAGUCAUGAUCAAGUAGUCUGGUGGUAAAGUUCAUUAGAAAUUAGAACAGAAGCAGUUAACCCAACACAGUAAACCAAGUAUCUGAUGCUUAGGCACCCACAGGAGAGACGUAAGCCCUCCCUACCUAUUCUCACAUAACUAACAAGUCUGCCAUGUGCAUUUUAUCAAAUUGCUUAAAGAAACAUUCAGCUAGUCCCUGGCCAGGUAUGUAAUGAAAAUUUGAUUAAGCCUCCUCAUACUGCAAAAUAUUUCUCAAUUAAAGCAACGUAACGAUAGUCCCUUAUGUCUUCUGGUUCCAAAGUCUAUUAAAAACCCUUUAAUGAUUCCCUUAUUUAGCCUACCAUUCACAAGCAGUAU
RNAcentral lists this long non-coding RNA (1029 nucleotides) under Bos taurus (domestic cattle). Its description in RNAcentral is "long non-coding RNA NONBTAT004798". The record is from RNAcentral. Lineage: Eukaryota; Metazoa; Chordata; Mammalia; Artiodactyla; Bovidae.